GUGCUCACUUAGGCAGCACAUAUACUAAAAUUAGAAUGAUACAAAGAUUAGCAUGGCUCCUGUGCAUGGAUGACAGGCGAAUUUGUGAAGCGUUCCGUAUUUUU
RNAcentral lists this small nuclear RNA (104 nucleotides) under Sus scrofa (pig). The record is from RNAcentral. Lineage: Eukaryota; Metazoa; Chordata; Mammalia; Artiodactyla; Suidae.